CGCCUUCGCUAGGGGUGUCGGCCUGCGCAAGCAGCUCCGACUGAGAGAGUCCCUUUGAACCUGAUUGAGAUCAUCCUCGCGCAGGGAAGCAGUCCGCAUACGCC
RNAcentral lists this non-coding RNA (104 nucleotides) under Acidovorax sp. CF316. Its description in RNAcentral is "TPP riboswitch aptamer (THI element)". It matches the Rfam family "TPP riboswitch aptamer (THI element)". Rfam says of the family: Vitamin B(1) in its active form thiamin pyrophosphate (TPP) is an essential coenzyme that is synthesised by coupling of pyrimidine and thiazole moieties in bacteria. The previously detected thiamin-regulatory element, thi box was extended, resulting in a new, highly conserved RNA secondary structure, the THI element, which is widely distributed in eubacteria and also occurs in some archaea. RNAcentral also lists the same sequence under 1 other name. Lineage: Bacteria; Pseudomonadati; Pseudomonadota; Betaproteobacteria; Burkholderiales; Comamonadaceae. The record is from Rfam by way of RNAcentral.